GUACCAGACUCCUACGGGAGGCAGCAGUGGGGAAUAUUGCACAAUGGGCGAAAGCCUGAUGCAGCGACGCCGCGUGAAGGAUGAAGUAUUUCGGUAUGUAAACUUCUAUCAGCAGGGAAGAAAAUGACGGUACCUGACUAAGAAGCCCCGGCUAACUACGUGCCAGCAGCCGCGGUAAUACGUAGGGGGCAAGCGUUAUCCGGAUUUACUGGGUGUAAAGGGCGUGUAGCCGGGCUUACAAGUCAGAUGUGAAAUCCGGGGGCUCAACCCCCGAACUGCAUUUGAAACUGUAGGUCUUGAGUAUCGGAGAGGCAGGCGGAAUUCCUAGUGUAGCGGUGAAAUGCGUAGAUAUUAGGAGGAGCAUCAGUGGCGAAGGCGACUUUCUGGACUGUAACUGACGCUGAGGCACGAAAGUGUGGGGAGCAAACAGGAUUAGAUACCCCGGUAGA
RNAcentral lists this ribosomal RNA (449 nucleotides) under uncultured bacterium. RNAcentral's name for it is "bacterial SSU rRNA". It matches the Rfam family "Bacterial small subunit ribosomal RNA", at positions 328 to 794 of the family's 1533-position model. The record is from RNAcentral.